RNAcentral lists this small nuclear RNA (167 nucleotides) under Sus scrofa (pig). Its description in RNAcentral is "U2 spliceosomal RNA (ENSSSCG00035050795.1)". The stretch from base 1 to 150 matches the Rfam family "U2 spliceosomal RNA". Rfam says of the family: U2 is a small nuclear RNA (snRNA) component of the spliceosome (involved in pre-mRNA splicing). Complementary binding between U2 snRNA (in an area lying towards the 5' end but 3' to hairpin I) and the branchpoint sequence (BPS) of the intron results the bulging out of an unpaired adenosine, on the BPS, which initiates a nucleophilic attack at the intronic 5' splice site, thus starting the first of two transesterification reactions that mediate splicing. The record is from RNAcentral. Lineage: Eukaryota; Metazoa; Chordata; Mammalia; Artiodactyla; Suidae.
AUCGCUUCUCGGCCUUUUGGCUAAGAUCAUGUGUAGAAUCCAGAGGCGGGUGGUGGAAAGACAGAGCAAGUGCUGGCGAGAGCAGGUCUGCCCUUUUCUUUUUUUUUUUUUUUUUUUUUUUUUUUUUUAAGAAAUCAAGAGUUAGCCAAUGUGCUGGUUAAGCAGAU